GAGAACUUUCAGUUUGAGAGGUGGAAUGAUAGGGUAACGCCUUGAAACGCCUCCCUUAAUACUCCGACAUGCCUUUUCUUACGUGUUAAAAGAAAUGGUAUGAAGCUCGGUGAAGUCGGCAGAAGGAUACCGUAAGCAAGAUUGAAAAACAUGGGUCUGCACGAAAAUUUCCUAGAGGUAGGAAACGUAUCUAAUAUGCCGGAGGUCGCAAAA
Enterococcus faecalis is the source of this 213-nucleotide non-coding RNA. Lineage: Bacteria; Bacillati; Bacillota; Bacilli; Lactobacillales; Enterococcaceae. The record is from Rfam.